Small nucleolar RNA from Rhinolophus ferrumequinum (greater horseshoe bat), 136 nucleotides. Lineage: Eukaryota; Metazoa; Chordata; Mammalia; Chiroptera; Rhinolophidae. The record is from Ensembl.
UGUCCGUGGCCUGGGUAGAGUGGCACCUGGUUUGGUGGUGCUUCUCUCACAUCAGCCAGGGACAAAGUAACUCCUUGUUUAUCCCAGCUUGGCUUUUGGUCUGUGCCCAUGCCUGCUUUAUGCCCUGGACACAUGA